Molecule: long non-coding RNA, 103 nt
Organism: Sapajus apella (tufted capuchin)
Lineage: Eukaryota; Metazoa; Chordata; Mammalia; Primates; Cebidae
Exons: 3
Source: RefSeq, a predicted model, not a curated record
AGUAGUCUCUGGACGUGUGUAUGUCGGGACCAGGUGAUGGAGAUUCAAGUAAACCCCUAAUUGGAACCAUAUUUGGGAUUCCCUGAUGGUUGAAUCAGCAAGU